Molecule: ribosomal RNA, 507 nt
Filed under: uncultured bacterium
Lineage: Bacteria
Description: partial 16S ribosomal RNA
Rfam family: Bacterial small subunit ribosomal RNA
Source: RNAcentral
GACGAACGCUGGCGGCGUGCCUAAUACAUGCAAGUCGAACGCAUUUUCUUUCACCGUAGCUUGCUACACCGAAAGAAAAUGAGUGGCGAACGGGUGAGUAACACGUGGGUAACCUGCCCAUCAGCGGGGGAUAACACUUGGAAACAGGUGCUAAUACCGCAUAAUUCCAUUUACCGCAUGGUAGAUGGAUGAAAGGCGCUUUUGCGUCACUGAUGGAUGGACCCGCGGUGCAUUAGCUAGUUGGUGGGGUAACGGCCUACCAAGGCUGCGAUGCAUAGCCGACCUGAGAGGGUGAUCGGCCACACUGGGACUGAGACACGGCCCAGACUCCUACGGGAGGCAGCAGUAGGGAAUCUUCGGCAAUGGACGCAAGUCCGACCGAGCAACGCCGCGUGAGUGAAGAAGGUUUUCGGAUCGUAAAACUCUGUUGUUAGAGAAGAACAAGGAUGAGAGUGGAAAGUUCAUCCCUUGACGGUAUCUAACCAGAAAGCCACGGCUAACUACGUG